UGGGGAAUAUUGCACAAUGGGCGCAAGCCUGAUGCAGCAACGCCGCGUGAGGGACGACGGCCUUGGGUUGUAACCUCUUUUAGUAGGGAAGAAGCGAAAGUGACGGUACCUGCAGAAAAAGCACCGGCUAACUACGUGCC
This 140-nucleotide ribosomal RNA is filed under the name uncultured bacterium. RNAcentral's name for it is "partial 16S ribosomal RNA". It matches the Rfam family "Bacterial small subunit ribosomal RNA", at positions 355 to 509 of the family's 1533-position model. The record is from RNAcentral.